RNAcentral lists this ribosomal RNA (447 nucleotides) under uncultured bacterium. RNAcentral describes it as "bacterial SSU rRNA". It matches the Rfam family "Bacterial small subunit ribosomal RNA", at positions 58 to 518 of the family's 1533-position model. The record is from RNAcentral.
CAAAGAGAGUGAAGAUUGACUUACAACAAUGGCUUUAGUGGCGGACUGGUGAGUAAUGUAUAAGUAACCUAGCCUAUCAGAGGGGAACAACAGUUGGAAACGACUGCUAAUACCGCAUAUGCCAUAUGGGAGACAUCUUCCAAGUGGAAAGGAGUAACCCGCUGAUAGAUGGACUUAUAUCUGAUUAGCUAGUUGGUGGGGCAACGGCCUACCAAGGCGACGAUCAGUAGCCGGACUGAGAGGUUAAACGGCCACAUUGGGACUGAGAUACGGCCCAGACUCCUACGGGAGGCAGCAGUCGGGAAUAUUGCGCAAUGGAGGAAAAACCUCUGACGCAGUGACGCCGCGUGCAGGAAGAAGGUUUUCGGAUUGUAAACUGCUUUAGACAGGGAAGAAAAAGACAGUACCUGUAGAAUAAGCUCCGGCUAACUACGUGCCAGCCGCCGC